This 51-nucleotide ribosomal RNA is filed under the name uncultured fungus. RNAcentral's name for it is "partial 5.8S ribosomal RNA". It matches the Rfam family "5.8S ribosomal RNA", at positions 1 to 51 of the family's 154-position model. Rfam says of the family: 5.8S ribosomal RNA (5.8S rRNA) is a component of the large subunit of the eukaryotic ribosome. Lineage: Eukaryota; Fungi. The record is from RNAcentral.
AACUUUCAACAACGGAUCUCUUGGUUCUGGCAUCGAUGAAGAACGCAGCCC